Molecule: long non-coding RNA, 2308 nt
Organism: Equus asinus (donkey)
Lineage: Eukaryota; Metazoa; Chordata; Mammalia; Perissodactyla; Equidae
Source: Ensembl
GAGCUGGGCAAGUUACAUUGUAUUUGAUUCCUGACUACUGUCUCUAAACCGAGGAUUCAAAUUGUUAGACUCAAUUCAUGACCUUGUUGGAAAUUUCCAGCAAACCCGCUGCUCAAUCACCUUAACUAGGAGAAAAUAUUUUAUGAUAUAGUGGAAACAAAUGAUAACAGUGUUGAGAGGGACAAGCUUAACACACAGAAUCCAGACUUCACACGUUCACGUGGGGGAGAUAGAAGUCGCGGAGUAGGCUGAUUUCUGAUGGCAACCUGAUUUAAUUUGCAAUAUGACUGCAUCAGUGGCUGCUCAAAAAGCUGUUUCCAACAUUUUGCAUCAAUAUAGCAGCUCUGGGAUCCUGAAGAAAUUUGUAUUUGCUGUCUAAGACCGGAAGGGUGGAGGAAUACAGGCCAGCAAGCCCUCGGAUCGACCCCGUACCCACGCCGACGGAGGAGAAGUGGACACGUGCUCAGUUAGAGAAGAGAACGGCACCUGCAGUCACCUGGGGCCAGAGGAUGUGGCAGACGCAUUUCAGCAGGCUUCUCAGUCCCAACAGGUCUCUCGAGAUGCGGGGCAGGCCCAGAGUCUAUGGGGCAUCUGUGGCAUGACUUGGCUGCUCGCUGCGCAGAGGAAGCGUCAAGCAGUCCCAGCCUCACCUGAACCUUUGGAACCUCCCCCUUGUGAGGCCCAGAGUUCAUCUGCUUCUCCGAGGUGUUUCCUGAACCACAGCCAACCUGAAUCCAGCUACCAGUUACUGAACAGCUGCUACCUUGAGAGGGACUGACCGACAUCGAGGACCUGGACUCCAGAACCCUGCUUUUGACCGGGAGACCUCCCAACUGGGAGCUCAAAUAAAUACGAGUGUGUUCGUUCUCAAUCCUGGAACCCGUGAGCCAAGCUGCAUUUUACGUCUGCAUCCUCUACCCCCUGUUACAGGAGCCUGUUGCCUUUAACGAACCUGAGUCAGUCUAGCGAGGAGAACUGCUCGCCAGGGCUAAUUAUCAUCGCGGCGAUGUGAGUAAAUGAAGGAAAGUGAGUCAUGCACUAGGGCGGUUUUAUGACGGCUGUGAGGGAAGGCAAAUCAAAUGUACGCAUCUAAACUGCAGGGACCUGCGAGCGGCUGAAUCAUACGUCCGAGUGAAUAUGAGUUUUAUGGCGUGCGCCUGGAGAUCCUUAACAUAAUUGUCCUGCUGCUUUGGUCAGGUUGUUCUCUGCCCGGAGGCCCAGUGGUGACCUCUCCAAACACGUCAAGUGGAGCCCCGAACUCUUCAAAUGGAGGCCACCCAUCUUGGGAAGAAAGACAACAGAAAAGAAAGAAAGAGAGUGGCGAAGUCAUAUUUCCACUGCAGAGUUGCCUGAAGAGCUCGCUCCCUUCCUGCCCUGGCUCUGUUCCCGUCAGUGCAUCCCUUGUAGCGAGUCUUAGCUCAGCAGCCUUCACGGGGUGGCCUACAGGGCAAUGAAGUGACCCAAGAAAGAGGAUGGCAUUUCUCCAACCCCCUCACCACCUGUGUGUGUUCACCAGGGAGGUGUUCUUGCCGUCUGGUCCCAGAUGUCCUAAUGCCUCCUUCGCGUAUGGGUUUGUUCAUUGAUUUAGUUAAUGAUUUGAUUUCUAAGUCUGCCCAGGCACUCUUGGAAAUGUCCUGUAGGAUAUAGACACGAAUCAGCAUGAACUCUGUUCUCAGGAAGCCUGCAGGGUAGGAGAGAAGGUUGGGCGGGUGCCACUGAAGCCUUCACACAGCUAAGGGGCUGUAGGUGGGCUUCCAGCGUGGGCUCUGGACCGCCUCGGCAUGACCCCUGCUCCCCAGCGGCAGAGUUAUUUGCUACUCGCAUCCAUAAAAUGUGGAUGAUAAUAGUUCCCACCCACUGGAUUGUUUUGAGGAAAGCACCUGGCACAGUGUUGGUGGUCACUAAGUGUUACCUCACGGUUUCCUCCACAAAUAAGCGGCAAGUAUCCUAACUGAGAAACCACUGACGUGCUCUGAGGUUCAGAGACAGAUGUGUCCUGGGGCCUGGAGAGGUUCACAACGCAGGCAGCCUUUGGGCCAGGCCUGGACGGCUCAGCUGAGAUCUCUCUGCGAUGCCCAUCGGAGUCGGUGCUCCCAGCAUUAGAGAAGCAGGACUUUGCCCCAUUUCUCUGUGCGUAUCUAUCGGUGUUUAAUACACAACUGGUUCUUUUUUUUUUUUUUUUUUUAAAGAUUUUAUUUUUUCCUUUUUCUCCCCAAAGCCCCCCGGUACAUAGUUAUGUAUUCUUCGUUGUGGGUUCUUCUAGUUGUGGCAUGUGGGACGCUGCCUCAGCGUGGUCUGACGAGCAGUG